This 504-nucleotide ribosomal RNA is filed under the name Bacillus sp. M3-C10. Its description in RNAcentral is "bacterial SSU rRNA". It matches the Rfam family "Bacterial small subunit ribosomal RNA", at positions 1 to 494 of the family's 1533-position model. The record is from RNAcentral. Lineage: Bacteria; Bacillati; Bacillota; Bacilli; Caryophanales; Bacillaceae.
UGAGCUUGAUCCUGGCUCAGGACGAACGCUGGCGGCGUGCCUAAUACAUGCAAGUCGAGCGGACAAUAGGGAGCUUGCUCCCUAUUGUUAGCGGCGGACGGGUGAGUAACACGUGGGCAACCUGCCCUGUAGACUGGGAUAACAUCGAGAAAUCGGUGCUAAUACCGGAUAAUAAAUGGAAUUGCAUAAUUCCAUUAUAAAAGAUGGCUCCGGCUAUCACUACAGGAUGGGCCCGCGGCGCAUUAGCUAGUUGGUAAGGUAACGGCUUACCAAGGCAACGAUGCGUAGCCGACCUGAGAGGGUGAUCGGCCACACUGGGACUGAGACACGGCCCAGACUCCUACGGGAGGCAGCAGUAGGGAAUCUUCCGCAAUGGACGAAAGUCUGACGGAGCAACGCCGCGUGAGCGAUGAAGGCCUUCGGGUUGUAAAGCUCUGUUGUUAGGGAAGAACAAGUGCCAUUCAAAUAGGGUGGCACCUGACCGGUACCUAACCCAAAAGCCCG